This 604-nucleotide long non-coding RNA is filed under the name Homo sapiens (human). RNAcentral describes it as "HSALNT0370656". Lineage: Eukaryota; Metazoa; Chordata; Mammalia; Primates; Hominidae. The record is from RNAcentral.
CUGGGGCCCACCCAGAAUGGACACACUUGGGGGCAGACUGGAGCCCACCUUGCAUCUGGAGCUAAGCUGUCAGACCUGCAGCUUGAAGCAGGGCAGCCUGGCUGAGGCCCACCCAGAUCAGCCAACUUGCAAACACAGAAGAAACCAGUGCUUCUUGUGGUUGUCUUCUGCUCCUGAUCUGGUUGGCUGGAGACACUUAGAAGCUAUGGCCUUUCACCUACAGGGUCUCUCUUUGUUGCCUAGGCUGGAGUGCAGUGGAACGAACUUGGCUUAUUGAAGCAUUGACCACCUGGACCCAAGUGAUUCUCCUACCUUAGCCUCUUGAAUAGCUGUGACAACAGAUGAAGAAAAUGAGGCACUGAGAGAUUACAUAACUUCCCUUGAGUCAUAUUUGCUUGUAAGUGGUAAGGCUGGAUGUUGAACCCAGGACAAAGGGAGCCCAGUGGAGGAUCCCUGGAGGAGCAAAUAGAAGAAACCCAAAAGGGACUUGAAAGCGGGUCCCCUCCCUCACCUGGAUUCCCAGUCCGAAGAGGAGGAAGCAUCCGCCCUCCUUCCCUCCUUCUGACCCACCCAGCCACCCACCCAAGGUGCCAUUAAAGUUAAU